RNAcentral lists this ribosomal RNA (368 nucleotides) under bacterium enrichment culture DGGE band 6(2011). RNAcentral's name for it is "bacterial SSU rRNA". It matches the Rfam family "Bacterial small subunit ribosomal RNA", at positions 73 to 444 of the family's 1533-position model. The record is from RNAcentral.
UCUUAAGCAAUUAAGAUAGUGGCAAACGGGUGAGUAACGCCCUAAGUAACCUACCUCUAAGUGGGGGAUAGCUUCGGGAAACUGAAGGUAAUACCGCAUGUGAUGGGCUGACAUAAGUCGGUUCAUUAAAGCCGCAAGGUGCUUGGUGAGGGGCUUGCGUCCGAUUAGCUAGUUGGUGGGGUAAUGGCCUACCAAGGCUUCGAUCGGUAGCUGGUCUGAGAGGAUGAUCAGCCACACUGGGACUGAGACACGGCCCAGACUCCUACGGGAGGCAGCAGCAAGGAAUCUUGGGCAAUGGGCGAAAGCCUGACCCAGCAACGCCGCGUGAGGGAUGAAGGCUUUCGGGUUGUAAACCUCUUUUCACAGGG